AGUCGGUUACACGGUCGCGGAGCGCCGCGAGGCGCGAUGAGGAAAGUCCGGGCAUCGCAGGGCAGGACGCCUGCUAACGGCAGGUGAAGGCGACUUUAAGGAAAGUGCAACAGAAAUAGACCGCCGCGCAAGCGGUAAGGAUGGAAAGGCGAGGUAAGAGCUCACCGACGGAACGGUAACGCUCCGUGCCAUGUAAACCCCGUCCGAUGCAAGUUUGGGUUUUGCUCAACAGGGUUGCCCGCCCGAGCAAAACCGUGAAUAACGCUUGAACUUAUCGGCGACGAUAAGUCUAGAUAAAUGACCGUGCACGACAGAACCCGGCUUACAGACCGACUCG
This 337-nucleotide RNase P RNA is filed under the name pig gut metagenome. RNAcentral describes it as "Bacterial RNase P class A". It matches the Rfam family "Bacterial RNase P class A". From Rfam's summary of the family: Ribonuclease P (RNase P) is a ubiquitous endoribonuclease, found in archaea, bacteria and eukarya as well as chloroplasts and mitochondria. The record is from RNAcentral.